RNAcentral lists this ribosomal RNA (254 nucleotides) under uncultured bacterium. RNAcentral describes it as "partial 16S ribosomal RNA". It matches the Rfam family "Bacterial small subunit ribosomal RNA", at positions 524 to 776 of the family's 1533-position model. The record is from RNAcentral.
UACGUAGGUGGCAAGCGUUGUCCGGAAUUAUUGGGCGUAAAGAGCUCGUAGGCGGCUUGUCGCGUCGACUGUGAAAACCCGUGGCUCAACCAUGUGGCCUGCAGUCGAUACGGGCAGGCUAGAAUUCGGUAGGGGAGACUGGAAUCCCUGGUGUAGCGGUGAAAUGCGCAGAUAUCAGGAGGAACACCGGUGGCGAAGGCGGGUCUCUGGGCCGAUACUGACGCUGAGGAGCGAAAGCGUGGGGAGCGAACAGG